RNAcentral lists this ribosomal RNA (305 nucleotides) under Crangonyx chlebnikovi. RNAcentral's name for it is "5.8S ribosomal RNA". The stretch from base 4 to 157 matches the Rfam family "5.8S ribosomal RNA". From Rfam's summary of the family: 5.8S ribosomal RNA (5.8S rRNA) is a component of the large subunit of the eukaryotic ribosome. The record is from RNAcentral. Lineage: Eukaryota; Metazoa; Arthropoda; Malacostraca; Amphipoda; Crangonyctidae.
UACAACUCUGAGCGGUGGAUCACUUGGCCUGUGGACGCUAUGAAGACCAUAGCUAAAUGUGAGAACGGCAGCGAGUCGUUGCUAUAUGCGCUGUCUCCCUUCUCUCAUAUGUCGAAUGCACAUUGCGCCCCACCAGCGCGGGGUCGAUGAUGGGACGGAUGAAGUCUGUGAGAUCCGUACACAAACGCGAAGGUGUGGCCUCGGAGCAACGGCCGGGGAGCCAGGAGCACCCGAGUGUGCGUUGCGGAUCUGUGUCAUUGUAAUCCGUUCGACCCUGAAGGUGGGGCACUUCUAGUCGAGUGUGG